This is a long non-coding RNA of Balaenoptera ricei (Rice's whale), 1760 nucleotides long. RefSeq lists it as uncharacterized. The record is from RefSeq and is a predicted model, not a curated record. The transcript is spliced from 3 exons. Lineage: Eukaryota; Metazoa; Chordata; Mammalia; Artiodactyla; Balaenopteridae.
CUGUGCCUGCAAAAGGCUCAGGCCUGGAGGGACAUGGGAAUCUGAGCGAGUUAGUCAGCAGGGAGCUCCAGGCUGGCACUUCCUUACUUCUCCAGUCCCCUAAAUUCCCAAGCAUAGCCUGUCCUUCCUCCCUGAGGCCCUGACCGGACAUAUGAGGUAAACCAGUACCUAACAAGAUAAUUCAGACAAGUAAGUCGUCUGGAAAAGGAAUCCCAGGAGAAUUUGAGAGAGGAUGAUCAGAUUGGGAGUCCUGAUUUAGAUGAUCAAGGAAGGCCUCUGCAAGGCGUUAUCUCAGCCCAGACCUACAUAAGAAGGGGGCCCCAAGCACAGGAAGCUCUGGGAGCAGAGGCAGGAGCUGGCAUGUUUCCAGGACUCUGUGUGCCUGGAGGGGAGUGUGUGGAGGGAGGAGAGAGAGGCGUGGAGUCAGGCGGGAGCCGGCUCACGUGGGCCCUCUGGGCCUGGGAGGAGUUUAGAUUUUAGUCUAAGCCCAAAAGGACACCAUGGGAGGAUGUAAGCAGGUUGGUGACAAGGUCCAAAAUACCUUUACGAAAGUUCUUUCCAGUUUGAAAGUUGUUUCCGGUUCUUUCCCUUCUUUGGAGAACGGAUCGAUCGUCAGCAGGCGAGAACAGAGGCAGGCAGACAGGUAAGAAGUGGAUUUCUUUAGAGAGGUACACAUUCCAUAGACAGAAUGCGGUCCAUCUCAAAAGAACUGGAAUGGCAGCUGAGCCACCCCAGCAGCUGACCAAGGGCGUAUCGAUUUGUGCUAGGCUCCUUGCUAAUAUCUGAGCCAGUCACACAUGAAGAUAAAGGCUCCAAAGAACUCACCCACGGUGAUCUGUCCUGCUUAAACCUCCCACGGCCAAGUCCACAAGUCUCCCCAUUGAUCAGCCAACUCUGCCCUUUCCAACCCAAGCCUGACCAUCACUCGUGGAGAGCAGUCAUGGUUCAGAACAUGAGAUCUGGAGUCAGGCAGCCCGGGUUCCAGCCCAAGGAUUACUGAGUCAAAGGGUAUUUACAUAUUUACUGUUGAGAGAUGCUGCCAAACUGCCUUCCAAAAAGUUGGACCCAUUUAUACUCCCACCAGCAGUGUAAGACAGUGCCCUUUCCCAUACUUUCUCCAUCUUUACCAAUCUGUUUCAAAACAAAACAAAACAAAACACCCUCUACUACCAUGCUUGCAUUUCUUGCACUAGCAUCUUUUCAUCUUUUUUUGGCAGUUUGAAUUUCUGUAUAUUGCCUGGCCAUAUCCUUUGUCCAUUUUUAAAUAUUUGAGUUGUCAUCUUUUUGUUAUUUAUUUGUAGUAGCUUAUUACAUAUUUGGAUAUCAACCUCUGUUGUAAAUGUUAAAGUAUUACUUCCACUUAAUCAGUGGUCACUGGACUUUGUUUAUGGUGUCUAUUUGCCUCACAGCAGCUCUUACCAAACCCCAGCUAAGAGAUAGGAAUCCACCUACUUCAGUGGAGAGAGCACUGGAUUGGGAGUCAGGAACCUGGGUUUUGAGUUCUACGUCUGUCAUUGAUUCACUGUGUGACUUUGAACCAGUCCCUGACCUCUCUUUCACUAUCUGCUAAAUAAGAGCAUUGAUUUGAGUGGUCUCUGUAGAACUGUCCACCUCCAUGGUCUAGACAAGCACUAUUAAUAGAACUUUCUGCAAUGAUGGAAAUGUUCCAUCUCUGCACUGUUCAAUAUGGUAACCACUAGCCACAUGUGGCUAUUGAGCACUUAAAAAUGUGACUAGUGUGACUGAGAAACUGAAUUUUA